GACGAACGCUGGCGGCGUGCUUAACACAUGCCAGUCGAACGGAAAGGCCCUGCUUUUGUGGGGUGCUCGAGUGGCGAACGGGUGAGUAACACGUGAGUAACCUGCCCUUGACUUUGGGAUAACUUCAGGAAACUGGGGCUAAUACCGGAUAGGAGCUCCUGCUGCAUGGUGGGGGUUGGAAAGUUUCGGCGGUUGGGGAUGGACUCGCGGCUUAUCAGCUUGUUGGUGGGGUAGUGGCUUACCAAGGCUUUGACGGGUAGCCGGCCUGAGAGGGUGACCGGCCACAUUGGGACUGAGAUGCGGCCCAGACUCCUACGGGAGGCAGCAGUGGGGAAUAUUGCACAAUGGGCGGAAGCCUGAUGCAGCAACGCCGCGUGCGGGAUGACGGCCUUCGGGUUGUAAACCGCUUUCGCCUGUGACGAAGCGUGAGUGACGGUAAUGGGUAAAGAAGCACCGGCUAACUACGUG
RNAcentral lists this ribosomal RNA (468 nucleotides) under uncultured bacterium. Its description in RNAcentral is "partial 16S ribosomal RNA". It matches the Rfam family "Bacterial small subunit ribosomal RNA", at positions 28 to 507 of the family's 1533-position model. The record is from RNAcentral.